RNAcentral lists this transfer RNA (146 nucleotides) under Penicillium flavigenum. It matches the Rfam family "tRNA". From Rfam's summary of the family: Transfer RNA (tRNA) molecules are approximately 80 nucleotides in length. The record is from Rfam by way of RNAcentral. Lineage: Eukaryota; Fungi; Ascomycota; Eurotiomycetes; Eurotiales; Aspergillaceae.
GCCCCUGUGGCGCAAUUGGAUAGCGCAUGCGACUUGUUAGUUCCCGAAAAAUCCCGAUUAUUAUCCAUAAUGCUAACUAAUCCUUUCACAGCUAUGAAACAUCAUUUGGAAUCGCAAGGCUGCGGGUUCGACCCCCGCCAGGGGUU